GACGAACGCUGGCGGUGUGCUUAACACAUGCAAGUGGUGCGACGAACCAGAGCUUGCUCUGGGGCAAAGCCGCGAACGGGUGAGUAACACGUGGGUAAUCUACCCCGAUGACCGGGACAACCCGAGGAAACUCGGGCUAAUACCGGAUGUGGUACGGAGACAUAAGUCUCUUUACUAAAGGUAGCUUCGGCUUCCGCAUUGGGAGGGGCCCGCGGCCCAUUAGCUAGUUGGUGGGGUCAAGGCCUACCAAGGCAACGAUGGGUAGCUGGUCUGAGAGGACGAUCAGCCACACUGGGACUGAGACACGGCCCAGACUCCUACGGGAGGCAGCAGUGGGGAAUCUUGCGCAAUGCGCGAAAGCGUGACGCAGCAACACCGCGUGAGGGAAGACGGGCCUUAGGGUUGUAAACCUCUUUCAGAUGGGACGAAGGUGAUGCGGUGAAUAGCCGAUGUCAUUGACGGUACCGUCAGAAGAAGCUCCGGCUAACUACGUGCCAGCAGCCGCGGUAAU
This 511-nucleotide ribosomal RNA is filed under the name uncultured bacterium. RNAcentral describes it as "bacterial SSU rRNA". It matches the Rfam family "Bacterial small subunit ribosomal RNA", at positions 28 to 524 of the family's 1533-position model. The record is from RNAcentral.